RNAcentral lists this small nuclear RNA (162 nucleotides) under Rosa chinensis. Its description in RNAcentral is "sRNA RchiOBHm_Chr3g0452321". It matches the Rfam family "U1 spliceosomal RNA". Rfam says of the family: U1 is a small nuclear RNA (snRNA) component of the spliceosome (involved in pre-mRNA splicing). Its 5' end forms complementary base pairs with the 5' splice junction, thus defining the 5' donor site of an intron. There are significant differences in sequence and secondary structure between metazoan and yeast U1 snRNAs, the latter being much longer (568 nucleotides as compared to 164 nucleotides in human). Lineage: Eukaryota; Viridiplantae; Streptophyta; Magnoliopsida; Rosales; Rosaceae. The record is from Rfam by way of RNAcentral.
AUACUUACCUGGACGGGGUCAAUGGGCGAUCAAGAAGGCUCAUGGCCUAGGUUGGUGGCCUCCAUUGCACUUAGGAGGGGUGCCUGCCUAUGGUCUCCUCACUGAAGGAGAGCCAACGUCAUAAUUUGUUGCCGUGGGGGCCUGCGUUCGCGCGGCCCCUUC